This 684-nucleotide ribosomal RNA is filed under the name uncultured bacterium. RNAcentral describes it as "bacterial SSU rRNA". It matches the Rfam family "Bacterial small subunit ribosomal RNA", at positions 9 to 705 of the family's 1533-position model. The record is from RNAcentral.
GAGUUUGAACCUGGCUCAGGAUGAACGCUGGCGGCGUGCCUAAUACAUGCAAGUCGAGCGAACCACUUCGGUGGUGAGCGGCGAACGGGUGAGUAACACGUAGGUGAUCUGCCCAUCAGACGGGGACAACGAUUGGAAACGAUCGCUAAUACCGGAUAGGACGAAAGUUUAAAGGUGCUUCUGGCACCGCUGAUGGAUGAGCCUGCGGCGCAUUAGCUAGUUGGUAGGGUAAAGGCCUACCAAGGCGACGAUGCGUAGCCGACCUGAGAGGGUGAACGGCCACACUGGGACUGAGACACGGCCCAGACUCCUACGGGAGGCAGCAGUAGGGAAUCUUCGGCAAUGGGCGAAAGCCUGACCGAGCAACGCCGCGUGAAUGAUGAAGGCCUUCGGGUUGUAAAAUUCUGUUAUAAGGGAAGAACGACUUUAGUAGGAAAUGGCUAGAGUGUGACGGUACCUUAUGAGAAAGCCACGGCUAACUACGUGCCAGCAGCCGCGGUAAUACGUAGGUGGCGAGCGUUAUCCGGAAUUAUUGGGCGUAAAGAGCGCGCAGGUGGUUGAUUAAGUCUGAUGUGAAAGCCCACGGCUUAACCGUGGAGGGUCAUUGGAAACUGGUCGACUUGAGUGCAGAAGAGGGAAGUGGAAUUCCAUGUGUAGCGGUGAAAUGCGUAGAGAUAUGGAGGA